RNAcentral lists this long non-coding RNA (328 nucleotides) under Mus pahari (shrew mouse). RNAcentral's name for it is "predicted gene 28411 (MGP_PahariEiJ_G0003594.1)". Lineage: Eukaryota; Metazoa; Chordata; Mammalia; Rodentia; Muridae. The record is from RNAcentral.
AUGCUGAAUGGUAACCUGACCUUAGGGUUUCUGGGCGUCUCUGGUGGUUUGCUUGGGGAAGACCUCUGUCAGAAUGCAGAGAGGUGUCUUCCUUGAGGCUGUUGGCCCAGGCUGCGGGAUGGCAGCCUGCUCUGCCAUGGCCCUGUCUGGUGAUUUGGUUGAGAAGCUCUUUCUCUCAAGUGGUAAACCUAUAAAAUAAGAACCAAGCCAGAAUUCUCUGGUCCUGUCGGUGCUGAAGGAACAGCAAGAGGCAGAGUGAGGUCCGGCACAUCUUUUCACACAUCUCAUCCCAGCAGUUUGUCAAAUAAAAUACAAGAUGUCCAGUUAA